RNAcentral lists this ribosomal RNA (437 nucleotides) under uncultured Oscillospiraceae bacterium. RNAcentral describes it as "partial 16S ribosomal RNA". It matches the Rfam family "Bacterial small subunit ribosomal RNA", at positions 341 to 792 of the family's 1533-position model. The record is from RNAcentral. Lineage: Bacteria; Bacillati; Bacillota; Clostridia; Eubacteriales; Oscillospiraceae.
ACGGGAGGCAGCAGUGGGGAAUAUUGGGCAAUGGGCGCAAGCCUGACCCAGCGACGCCGCGUGAGGGAAGAAGGUCUUCGGAUUGUAAACCUCUUUCAGCAGGGAAGAAGCAAGUGACGGUACCUGCGGAAGAAGUCACGGCUAACUACGUGCCAGCAGCCGCGGUAAUACGUAGGUGGCGAGCGUUAUCCGGAAUUACUGGGUGUAAAGGGUGUGUAGGCGGAGAAGCAAGUCAGGCGUGAAAUUUAUGGGCUCAACUCAUAAACUGCGCUUGAAACUGUUUCCCUUGAGAGUGGGAGAGGUAAACGGAAUUCCUGGUGUAGUAGUGAAAUGCGUAGAUAUCAGGAGGAACACCGGUGGCGAAGGCGGUUUACUGGACCACAACUGACGCUGAGACACGAAAGCGUGGGGAGCAAACAGGAUUAGAUACCCUGGUA